UGGAAGCAGGGAUGGUUCACCACUUGAAAAACUCUUAGCCGCAACAGAGAAAUGCCCCUGAAAGUUCAUUUCUCACUGAGUUUCUCCUUCAAAGUGCUGAUGUUUGACCUUUCCAGCUUUCCUGCCUCUUGUUGUGAAGUCCUUUCAUAUGGCUAAAUUGGACUCUGGGUGACAUCUGUGAUUCUGCCCAGCAGGUUUCUGGUGAGUGCUUGGAUCCCUCAUGAGUGGAUUCUGUGCUUCUUUAAAAAAAGAAAUUCUGUCAACUGCUGCCACACUGCCCAUGUAAAGGGUGUCAUGCAAGAAGGUUCUGGACAUGAAGACUUGCUGCAGGAGCCCCAGCCUAUUAAAAACAAUGCCUGUGUGAUUUCUUUCUGUUUUUUUAAUCCAUCUCACAGGUGAGGAGGAUCUGGGCAAUUGCCCUUUCUAGGCUUUCAAACUCAUCAGUCAGGAUUCUGAUUCCUCCCAAUGUUCUGAUUCCCAUUUCAGCUCUUUUCUCAGCUGGAUGUUUGACCUCAUUGUUGGUUUCUCAUAGUGCUGGUGCUGAGAUGUGGCCUUGAGGAAAUUUGCAGAUCAUAGGCAUCAAAUUAUAUAUAAAAUCCACCUGCUCCAAUCCUUUGCUGUUCACAGGGAGCCAGGGUCCCCUGUCCUGAAGCUGAGCCCCACUCAGGGAAGGUCUCCAAAAAUAACCUUGAUCUUUCCUCUCCCACAAUGAGAUCUAUUGCUCUGGACUGGGAGGGUGGCUCCUGAAAUGAUAUGCUAAUUCCCCAGCCAUUAGUGCAGCCUCAGAUGAACAUUUCCCUGUGAGGGAACAGGCUGUGAGACUUUCCCUGAGUUAUUUUCUCACCUGGGGCUUGCUCCAGAGGCAAUGAGCAGAGUUACUGCUCGAUCUCUCACUCACAAAGGAGUGAAGCAUGGUCAGGUUCCUCCUCUGACCUUAUGUUAGAAGAGAAAGUGCUUUUUAGUACUUUUUCUUUUUGACAUGACUGUACUCCUUUAUCUUCUUCCUAUUCUUCCUGAACACUAAACUCCCUUCACAAUCCCCUUGCUAAUCACAAAAUUCCUUUUUUCCUUCCUCCCUGUUUUACUCUGAUGUGUUACUAGAGAGAUACAUGAGAAUAAAACAAAAUAAAGUGUAAAUUUGGAAAACA
RNAcentral lists this long non-coding RNA (1148 nucleotides) under Cyanistes caeruleus (blue tit). RNAcentral describes it as "lncRNA (ENSCCEG00000006704.1)". Lineage: Eukaryota; Metazoa; Chordata; Aves; Passeriformes; Paridae. The record is from RNAcentral.